This 478-nucleotide ribosomal RNA is filed under the name uncultured bacterium. Its description in RNAcentral is "partial 16S ribosomal RNA". It matches the Rfam family "Bacterial small subunit ribosomal RNA", at positions 28 to 523 of the family's 1533-position model. The record is from RNAcentral.
GACGAACGCUGGCGACGUGCUUAACACAUGCAAGUCGAACGGUAAGGCCCUUCGGGGUACACGAGUGGCGAACGGGUGAGUAACACGUGGGUGAUCUGCCCUGCACUUUGGGAUAAGCCUGGGAAACUGGGUCUAAUACCGAAUAGGACCAUGGACUUCACGGUUUGUGGUGGAAAGCUUUUGCGGUGUGGGAUGGGCCCGCGGCCUAUCAGCUUGUUGGUGGGGUGAUGGCCUACCAAGGCGACGACGGGUAGCCGGCCGGAGCGAGUGUCCGGCCAGACUGGGACUGCGAUACGGCCCAGACUCCUGCGGGGGGCAGCAGUGGGGAAUAUUGCACAAUGGGCGCAAGCCUGAUGCAGCGACGCCGCGUGGGGGAUGACGGCCUUCGGGUUGUAAACCUCCUUCAGUAGGGACGAAGCGCAAGUGACGGUACCUACAGAAGAAGCACCGGCCAACUACGUGCCAGCCGCCGCAGUAA